GAUACCCGAAUGGGGAAACCCAGUGUGACUCGUCACACUAUCAUUAACUGAAUCCAUAGGUUAAUGAGGCGAACCGGGGGAACUGAAACAUCUAAGUACCCCGAGGAAAAGAAAUCAACCGAGAUUCCCCCAGUAGCGGCGAGCGAACGGGGAGGAGCCCAGAGCCUGAAUCAGCAUGUGUGUUAGUGGAAGCGUCUGGAAAGGCGCGCGAUACAGGGUGACAGCCCCGUACACAAAAGCGCAUGUGCUGUGAGCUCGAUGAGUAGGGCGGGACACGUGGUAUCCUGUCUGAAUAUGGGGGGACCAUCCUCCAAGGCUAAAUACUCCUGACUGACCGAUAGUGAACCAGUACCGUGAGGGAAAGGCGAAAAGAACCCCGGCGAGGGGAGUGAAAAAGAACCUGAAACCGUGUACGUACAAGCAGUGGGAGCCCCACCACCAAAGCAUUUGCUGUACCGCGUUGACGGAGCGAAGCGACGUCAAACCGAUAAAACAGCAGUGUAAAGUGAGCCGCAGGGCGCUUUGCGCGACAGCGCAAAGGCAGGCGGUUUCGCGUAGCGAAAGCGAAUGCUUUGGGGUGGGGUGACUGCGUACCUUUUGUAUAAUGGGUCAGCGACUUAUAUUCUGUAGCAAGGUUAACCGAAUAGGGGAGCCGGAGGGAAACCGAGUCUUAAUUGGGCGUUAAGUUGCAGGGUAUAGACCCGAAACCCGGUGAUCUAGCCAUGGGCAGGUUGAAGGUUGGGUAACACUAACUGGAGGACCGAACCGACUAAUGUUGAAAAAUUAGCGGAUGACCUGUGGCUGGGGGUGAAAGGCCAAUCAAACCGGGAGAUAGCUGGUUCUCCCCGAAAGCUAUUUAGGUAGCGCCUCGUGAAUUCAUCUCCGGGGGUAGAGCACUGUUUCGGCUAGGGGGCCAUCCCGGCUUACCAACCCGAUGCAAACUGCGAAUACCGGAGAAUGUUAUCACGGGAGACACACGGCGGGUGCUAACGUCCGUCGUGAAGAGGGAAACAACCCAGACCGCCAGCUAAGGUCCCAAAGUCAUGGUUAAGUGGGAAACGAUGUGGGAAGGCCCAGACAGCCAGGAUGUUGGCUUAGAAGCAGCCAUCAUUUAAAGAAAGCGUAAUAGCUCACUGGUCGAGUCGGCCUGCGCGGAAGAUGUAACGGGGCUAAACCAUGCACCGAAGCUGCGGCAGCGACACUGUGUGUUGUUGGGUA
This 1218-nucleotide ribosomal RNA is filed under the name Salmonella enterica subsp. enterica serovar Enteritidis. Its description in RNAcentral is "partial 23S ribosomal RNA". It matches the Rfam family "Bacterial large subunit ribosomal RNA", at positions 109 to 1230 of the family's 2925-position model. Lineage: Bacteria; Pseudomonadati; Pseudomonadota; Gammaproteobacteria; Enterobacterales; Enterobacteriaceae. The record is from RNAcentral.